RNAcentral lists this ribosomal RNA (73 nucleotides) under Lactiplantibacillus plantarum. The record is from RNAcentral. Lineage: Bacteria; Bacillati; Bacillota; Bacilli; Lactobacillales; Lactobacillaceae. RNAcentral also lists the same sequence under 2 other names.
UGUGGUGACGAUGGCGAGAAGGAUACACCUGUUCCCAUGUCGAACACAGAAGUUAAGCUUCUUAGCGCCGAGA